GUGAUUCUGCUCAGGUUCUCAUCACCCCCAGAGUCUAACUACAUGACUUUGAUGAAUCUGAUCCCUUAUGAAUGAUCAGCAUGUAGGUUAAAGUGACUGUCUGUUUGUUUCCCUUCCAGGAUUUCCAGUUUCCACUGUGAUCACUGUGUCUGUAAUUCUGCUGCUGCUUCAGAUUGGAAUCAUAUUCCUCUUUGUGAUUCUACAAAAGAAACACAAGAUUAGGGCAGGUAGACAUUCUGUCCAAGACUCACAAAAGGACCAAGUGUUUCCUCUUGAUGUCUGUGAGUACGAGGAAAUUAAAGACACCAGACGACUUUCUGCCUCAGACGCUGGAUCUUCUUCAGUUUAUGCUACUGUUCAACUACCCACAAUCCCCUCUGAUCCUUCUCAAACUGUUUAUGCCAACGUGGUGUUACACACAAGUUCCUGUGAGUCCAUUUAUUCUACGCCUCAACUUCCCAUAAACCCUCCUGAUCAGGACAUCUACUCCACAGCUCAGAUACCCACACGUCUCCCUGACUCUUCAGUUGGCUGAGAAAUCUGAUGAAGCGACAGUUUUCACUUAACACCACCAGCUCUAAUGAUACAGAUCCAAAGAUGAUCUUGUUUGACUAUGGUUCAGGCAGUCGUGUUCAUUCAUGAGGCUAGUUUCUCAUCAUUACGGCUCCAAGUACAUGGCACUGGAACUCUACUGCUUUGCUUAGACAUUCACUCAUUCAUUCAUUCAUUCAUUCAUUCAUUCUUCUUCUUCUCCUUCUUCUGUUUUUCAAACAAUAUUCAAAGCAAUGACUGUAAUAUGGACUGUAACAUAUUUUUUUAGAUAAUUUUCAUGAUUUGCCAAGCCUAAGGAUUUUGUCUGCUCCUACAAAAAAUUCCCCACCUCUGUUAGCUCCAGCUAAUAGCUGUGUUGUAUCUGUCAAUCACGUGUGCUGGUUAGACUAUUAGUCCACUCUCUAUCAGGACAGUCUGGGAAGGCCUGCUUGAUAAAUUCACCUCAUGUUUUAUCUCAUAUCUAACACACACACUGAUUCUGCUCGGUGUGCUCAUAUCUGCUGUUCUCCAGCUCGCUAUUUCAUAGUAGAGACUGCUAAAGUAAAGUAUGCUGCUUAAUCAGUUACAGGAGCACAGACAUAUGUGUUUUCCGUUUAUAUCUGAUAACAGAUAGUGUAGAUACUGUUGUUGCUAAGUAACAGAGAAUGUACUAAGUUAUUAUCAGAGCUCAUUAAUUAAACCAGUAAAUAAUAAUAUUAUUCAGUAUAUCGUAUGUCCAUAAUACUUUCACUAAAGGCUCCUCUAGAUGGCAGCAUUGAUCCUCAGACCGAUAGAGUUCACCUCUAUAAAGACCCAUGUUGUCUCACACAGAGUAAAAAAAAAAAAAAAAGAAGAAGACGACAUUUUCAACACCCAGAGCAUCCUUGUAGCUGAAUAUCAUGCAAAUACAAAAAUGCUGAGCAACUUUACUGCAGUGAUAAACACUUCUACUGGCUGUAUGUUUAAUAUUCACACUUAUAUGUUGUUUUCCUGAGGAAGAAAUAAUGUAAUAUUUGUUUCACAUAUAAGUAUA
Molecule: long non-coding RNA, 1564 nt
Organism: Ictalurus punctatus (channel catfish)
Lineage: Eukaryota; Metazoa; Chordata; Actinopteri; Siluriformes; Ictaluridae
Source: Ensembl